GACGGCUCAAGCCGCCCCGCAGUAGCAGUUUUGCAGAGGCAAUCGUCGCGAACUGGCGCAGCGCCUCCCAGCAAAGGCGGCAAGCCGGCAGCCAACGGUGCCUCCUACCAACCAUUCCUGCUCAGAGAUUGAUGCUUCGAUUUUCCAGUAAUGUAGGCGAUUGGGAAUUCCAUCAUUGAUCGUUCCAAGCAGGCUCAUUGAAGAAAAAUCCAUCUCUCCGCUUUGCUAGGAAGCAAUAUUUGUUGCACAAUGUCAUGAGCAACAGUGCAGUGGUGACCUUCGCUUCACCAAGGGCUUCUCUGCAGCUAUCGAGGGUUAGUGUGUAGACGGAGACGCCGACAACGAGAUGGCUGAUAGGGGUGGCGCCGGCAAUGGCGAGGACGUCGACCGACAACAACAGCAUCCCCCUCUCCCAUCAGCAGCUAUGCCACAAUGCUACUCGAGUACUAAAACAAUAUUGGACAAUAUUGAUACAAUCAGGAAUCAGCUAACAUGAAUAUGUGCAUAUGCGUCGGUGCUACUACUGAAGCAGGCAAUGAAACUAAAGGGUGCAUGUUUUGUUCUUUUUCUA
Molecule: long non-coding RNA, 571 nt
Organism: Triticum aestivum (bread wheat)
Lineage: Eukaryota; Viridiplantae; Streptophyta; Magnoliopsida; Poales; Poaceae
Exons: 3
Source: RefSeq, a predicted model, not a curated record